RNAcentral lists this ribosomal RNA (235 nucleotides) under uncultured bacterium. Its description in RNAcentral is "partial 16S ribosomal RNA". It matches the Rfam family "Bacterial small subunit ribosomal RNA", at positions 99 to 334 of the family's 1533-position model. The record is from RNAcentral.
CGGACGGGUGAGUAACGCGUGGGUAACCUGCCUUAUACAGGGGGAUAACAGUCAGAAAUGGCUGCUAAUACCGCAUAAGCGCACAGAGCUGCAUGGCUCAGUGUGAAAAACUCCGGUGGUAUAAGAUGGACCCGCGUUGGAUUAGCUGGUUGGUGGGGUAACGGCCCACCAAGGCGACGAUCCAUAGCCGGCCUGAGGGGGUGAACGGCCACAUUGGGACUGAGACACGGCCCAG